CCUACGGGGGGCAGCAGUGGGGGAUAUUGGACAAUGGGGGGAACCCUGAUCCAGCGACGCCGCGUGAGUGAAGAAGUAUCUCGGUAUGUAAAGCUCUAUCAGCAGGGAAGAAGAAAUGACGGUACAUGAGUAAGAAGACCCGGCUACCUACGUGCCAGCAGCCGCGGUAAUACGUAGGGGGCAAGCGUUAUCCGGAAUUACUGGGUGGAACGGGAGCGUAGACGGUGAUGUAAGUCUGGAGUGAAAGGCGGGGGCGCAACCCCGGGACGGCAUUUGGAACUGUGCUGCGAGAGUGUCGGAGAGGCAGGCGGCAUUCCUAGUGUAGCGGUGAAAUGCGUAGAUAUUAGGAGGACCACCAGUGGCGAAGGCGGCCUGCUGGACGAUGACUGACGUUGAGGCUCGAAAGCGUGGGGAGCAAACAGGAUUAGAUACCCGUGUAGUC
Molecule: ribosomal RNA, 442 nt
Filed under: uncultured bacterium
Lineage: Bacteria
Description: partial 16S ribosomal RNA
Rfam family: Bacterial small subunit ribosomal RNA
Source: RNAcentral